This is an RNA transcript of Lemur catta (Ring-tailed lemur), 2903 nucleotides long. It is a transcript of the gene named GLIS family zinc finger 1, with no coding region annotated. The transcript has 9 exons. The record is from RefSeq and is a predicted model, not a curated record. Lineage: Eukaryota; Metazoa; Chordata; Mammalia; Primates; Lemuridae.
AUGCAUUGCGAGGUGGCCGAGGCACAGGCGGACAAGAGGCCCAAGGAGGCCCCCGGUGCGCCCGGUCCCGGCCGCGGGCCCGCCAACCUCGGGGCGCACAUGGCUUUCAGGGUCACCGUGAGCGGUGGCGGCUGCGGGGACAGGGGCCCGCGGGACCUACUAGCCCGAACGUCCGCGCCGCCGCGCGCCCACAACCUUCUCCGGCCCCGGAGCCCCCGAGACUACGGCCCGUCCAAGGCCGCCGCUGGGAAGGUGAACGGGAGCUACGGCCACUGCACCCCGGGCUCGGAGAAGAGCCUGCUGGACCUGGACCUUGCUGAGGGCCCCGGCCCCACCUGCUGCCAGGGCCUGUUUCUCCCCACGGGAACCCCGCCACCCCGGGGUCAACCCCCAGCCUGCGAGAGGCUGCUGCAUUUCCCCCACCCAAACAGGUCACCCAGGCCCCAGGCUACAUACGUGAACGGUGGCCUCCCAACCACACAACACAUCAAGCAGGAGUCCCUGCCUGACUUCCAGGCCAUGGCAGAGGCCCGCACGCCCCUGCCUGCCCACUGCCGGGCCCCGCCAGCCACCGGCCUGCACACAGACCUGGACCUCCCUGGCCAAGGCCUCGCCAACCCUGCACCUUCCUGCUACCUUCUAGGCAGCGAGCCCAGCUCUGGCCUGGGCCCCCAGCCCGAGGCCCACCUCCCCGAGGGCAGCCUGAAGCACUGCUGCCUCCUGGGCCUGCCCCCCACCUCCUCAGCCUCCUCCGACGUCACCCCCAUCAUCCGCUCCUCCCAGACGGCUCUGGUCACCUGUGUAAAUGGACUCCGGAGCCCCUCUCUGCCGGGGGACCUGGGGGGCCCUCCCAAGCGGGCCCGCCCUGGCCCUGUACCCACUGACAGCCAUGAGGGCAGCUUGCAACUUGAAGCCUGCCGGAAAGCGGCCUUCCUGAAGCAGGAGCCUGCAGAUGAGUUCUCUGAGCUCUUCGGGCCUCACCAGCAGGGUCUGCCACCCCCCUACCCCCUGCCUCAGUUGCCACCUGGCCAGGGCCUCGGAGGCCUGGGGCUGGGCCUGGCAGGCGGGGCGGUGGCCGGGCGGCAGGCGUGCCGCUGGGUGGACUGCUGUGCAGCCUACGAGCAGCAGGAGGAGCUGGUGCGGCACAUCGAGAAGAGCCACAUAGACCAGCGCAAGGGCGAGGACUUCACCUGCUUCUGGGCUGGCUGCGUGCGCCGCUACAAACCCUUCAAUGCCCGCUACAAGCUGCUCAUCCACAUGAGGGUGCACUCGGGCGAGAAGCCCAACAAGUGCAUGUUUGAAGGCUGCAGCAAGGCCUUCUCACGGCUGGAGAACCUCAAGAUCCACCUGAGGAGCCACACGGGCGAGAAGCCAUACCUGUGCCAGCACCCGGGCUGCCAGAAGGCCUUCAGCAACUCCAGCGACCGCGCCAAGCACCAGCGCACACACCUCGACACGAAGCCGUACGCCUGUCAGAUCCCCGGCUGCUCCAAGCGCUACACGGACCCCAGUUCCCUGCGCAAGCACGUAAAGGCCCAUUCAGCCAAAGAGCAGCAGGUGCGUAAGAAGCUGCACGUGGGCCCUGAGACGGAGGCCGACGUCCUGACCGAGUGUCUGGCCCUGCAGCAGCUCCACGCGGCCACACAGCUGGCUGCCAGUGACGGGAAGGGCGGCCGAGUCCCAGGCCAGGAGCUGCUCCCAGGUGUGUAUCCCGGCUCCGUCGCCCCUCACAACGGGCUCGCAUCAGGCAUCCUGCCCCCCACACACGACAUCCCUUCCAGGCAUCACCCGCUGGACGCCACCACCGGCUCCCACCACCAUCUGUCCCCUCUGCCCGUGGCUGAGAGCACCAGGGACGGGUUGGGGCCUGGCCUCCUCUCGCCCAUGGUCAGCCCACUGAAGGGGCUCGGGCCACCACCGCUGCCACCAUCCUCCCAGAGCCACUCCCCCGGGGGCCAGCCCUUCUCCACACUCCCCGGCAGGCCGUCCUACCCGCCCUUCCAGAGCCCCCCGCCCCCGCCUCUGCCCAGCCCGCAAGGUAAGCUCUGGUGGGGGCCGCUCCAGGUACCCUCCCACCUCCUGCUCAGGGACCCCAGAGGAGUCACCAGCCUGGAGGAGGCAGGUGGGUGCUCAGAGAAUGACGGGCCAGGCAUUGAGGGCCAGGCUGGGAGAAGCUGGGAGACAGGUGACCUAAAAGGCCUGGGCAGGGGCAAUUUCCUGGAGGAAAUUGGUUCAGAAAGUGAGAAGGAGUUUGUUUCGUGGACAAAGUAUCUGGGGACAUUCUUUGCUGAGGGCACAGCGUCGGUGGCGGCAGGGGUGGGAAAGCCGGUGGCUUGGAGCCACCGCGAGGGACUGGGAAUGCUGGGCCUGAGUGUGGAAGGAGUAGCAGGGCCACUGUCCCACCCUCAGAGCACUGGCAUCGGCCAAGGAGACCAUCUCAGCCACCUCUCGCCUGCCUACCACUCCAUGCAGGGCAGAGCAGAGAAAGGGGCCCAGACUGCUGGAGCCCCCUCCGCCCUGCUGUCUUCUCUCUGUCACACCCACGCUGCCUGGACGGGACAGCAAGGGGGACUGAGCAGUGCAGUGAGGAUGUCCCCUGCCUGCCCUGGGCGUUUUCCCUCUGUCAGCGCGGCCCCUGUCACCCCCUUCUGCAGGCUACCAAGGCAGUUUCCACUCCAUCCAGAACUGCUUCCCCUAUGGCGACUGCUACCGGACGACCGAGCCAGCAGCCGGUGGGGACGGACUGACCAGUGAAGCCCAAGGUUUCAACCCCCUGCGGCCCAAUGGCUACCACAGCCUCAGCGCACCCCUGCCCGCCACAGGCUACGAGGCCUCGUGCCCCACGGCACUGCCACCGCAGUCAUCUGAAGAUGUGGUGUCCAGCGGCCCUGAGGACUGUGGCU